CAAGGCCAUAGCUGCUUCUGUCUCACCUAAAAAGGAAAACCAACAAAGCAAAAAAAAAUUUAACCUUAUUCUUGACCAACCUGAGGAAUUUACAUCUAUGCAGAUAACCAUAGUGCCACAGCCUGGCUGUACAUAGUCCCUUCCCUUCUCUCUCUGCUUCAUCAUCUGUGUCUCUACUCUGUUAGCCUCAAAUUCCCUUGCUGCCCAUGACUGCCUUCCCUCCCCACAGCAGGAAAACACAAGCACACCUAGGAAUAAGCCAUCAGAACACAAAUACCAACCUCAUCCCACUGUGUUUUUGCCAAGAAUCAGGAUGAGGGCUUUUGUACCACUAAGAUCUAGCCUGGUCUCUUAAGGCUGAUUAUUCUCUUUUUAGCUACCUUUUUUUUUUUUUUUCUUUCCAUUUCCUUCUCUCUUUCACAUUUCAGUUGAGCACUUGCCCAGCUCAUCAUGAUCCUAACCUAAUGCUGUGCUUUGAGUGAAAUAUUCACACUUCAGCAAGCUUUGAGAGGGGAUCGUUGUCACAGCUGGCAAGUUUGGUUCAUAUCUCCCAUGCCUGGGGAGGAGGGAGGGCUGGACUGCACUACCCAAGCUGUGUGCAAGCAUGUCUGGCCUCCAAAGCCAGGGCAUGGGACACUCACUUCCCAGAGAAGUCAAGUGAAAGGCUGCCAUCAUCUCCCAGGGUCUUUGACUCACACUCUAAGAUAUAUUGACAAAGGUGCUAUCACUUAUGUGGGUGAUGUGGACCCUUGGUGUUUACACAGUUGUUUCCAGGACCACACUGAAAAUGUGGUUUGGCUGGGUGAGAUAUUGUUUCAGCGCUUCCACUGGUGCUCUUGCUAUGAAUUCAUGCACUUCAGAGAAACCAACAGUGACUGCCAGGUAUCGGGACCCCAAACUCUUUACUUUGUAUCCAAAACCCCAUUGUACCAGUUAGUUUUAUUUUAUGCCUGUGUUUUACUAAAAUUGUCCACUUUGGAAAUUUGUCAAAUAAAUUGUUUUCCACAAUCUCUUUGGGUGUUUGUCUGACUUGACUUCCUCCUUCCCAGAUCUUGAUUUUACAU
This 1064-nucleotide long non-coding RNA is filed under the name Junco hyemalis (dark-eyed junco). RNAcentral describes it as "lncRNA (ENSJHYG00000007732.1)". Lineage: Eukaryota; Metazoa; Chordata; Aves; Passeriformes; Passerellidae. The record is from RNAcentral.